UACGAAGGGGGCUAGCGUUGCUCGGAAUUACUGGGCGUAAAGCGCGCGUAGACGGCUUUGUAAGUCGGAUGUGAAAUCCCCGGGCUCAACCUGGGAACUGCAUUCGAAACUGCACUGCUAGAGUAUGGAAGAGGGAAGUGGAAUUUCCGGUGUAGCGGUGAAAUGCGUAGAUAUCGGAAGGAACACCAGUGGCGAAAGCGACUUCCUGGUCCAAUACUGACGUUCAUGUGCGAAAGCGUGGGGAGCAAACAGG
Molecule: ribosomal RNA, 253 nt
Filed under: uncultured bacterium
Lineage: Bacteria
Description: partial 16S ribosomal RNA
Rfam family: Bacterial small subunit ribosomal RNA
Source: RNAcentral